GAUGAAAAACAUAGUAAUUUGUGGAAAUUGCUGUGAUUUGUGAAAUUUUGUGAGCAUUGUGCUUUUGAAUGAAAAUUUCAGCAUUGAUGUACUCGUAUCUAUGCUACAUUUGUUUCAGUAUCUAUGCAUAAACUAUAUUUCUUUACUACUGCUACGAUGCAAUGGUAUUAAUUUUCUAAGAUCAC
This 185-nucleotide ribosomal RNA is filed under the name Laelaps giganteus. RNAcentral's name for it is "5.8S ribosomal RNA". The stretch from base 1 to 123 matches the Rfam family "5.8S ribosomal RNA", at positions 35 to 154 of the family's 154-position model. From Rfam's summary of the family: 5.8S ribosomal RNA (5.8S rRNA) is a component of the large subunit of the eukaryotic ribosome. It is transcribed by RNA polymerase I as part of the 45S precursor that also contains 18S and 28S rRNA. Functionally, it is thought that 5.8S rRNA may be involved in ribosome translocation. Lineage: Eukaryota; Metazoa; Arthropoda; Arachnida; Mesostigmata; Laelapidae. The record is from RNAcentral.